Molecule: long non-coding RNA, 2056 nt
Organism: Oncorhynchus tshawytscha (Chinook salmon)
Lineage: Eukaryota; Metazoa; Chordata; Actinopteri; Salmoniformes; Salmonidae
Source: Ensembl
GACAGGCCUGAGAUCAGUCUAUAAGGGGAAUUAGUUGGACAGGCCUGAGUUCGCUAUCUAAGGUGAAUGAGUUGGACAGGCCUGAGAUCAGUCUAUAAGGGGAAUGAGUUGGACAGGCCUGAGAUCAGUCUAUAAGGGGAAUGAGUUGGACAGGCCUGCGUUCGCUAUCUAAGGUGAAUGAGUUGGACAGGCCUGAGAUCAGUCUAUAAGGUGAAUGAGUUGGGACAGGCCUGAGAUCAGUCUAUAAGGUGAAGUAGUUGGACACCCCUGAGUUCGCUAUCUAAGGUGAAUGAGUUGGACAGGCCUGAGAUCAGUCUAUAAGGUGAAUGAGUUGGACAGGCCUGAUAUCAGUGUAUGAGAUGAAUGAGUUGGGACAGGCCUGAGAUCAGUCUAUAAGGGGAAUGAGUUUGACAGGCCUGAGAUCAUUCUAUAAGGUGAAUGAGUUGGACAGGCCUGAGAUCAGUCUAUAAGGGGAAUUAGUUGGACAGGCCUGAGAUCAGUCUAUAAGAUGAAUGAGUUGGACAGGCCUGAGAUCAGUCUAUAAGGUGAAUGAGUUGGACAGGCCUGAGAUCAGUCUAUAAGGGGAAUUAGUUGGACACCCCUGAGUUCGCUAUCUAAGGGGAAUGAGUUGGACAGGCCUGAGAUCAGUCUAUAAGAUGAAUGAGUUGGGACAGGCCCGAGAUCAGUCUAUAAGGUGAUUGAGUUGGACAGGCCUGAGAUCAGUCUAUAAGGGGAAUUAGUUGGACACCCCUGAGUUCGCUAUCUAAGGUGAAUGAGUUGGACAGGCCUGAGAUCAGUCUAUAAGGGGAAUGAGUUGGACAGGCCUGAGAUCAGUCUAUAAGAUGAAUGAGUUGGACAGGCCUGAGAUCAGUCUAUAAGGUGAAUGAGUUGGACAGGCCUGAGAUCAGUCUAUAAGGGGAAUUAGUUGGACACCCCUGAGUUCGCUAUCUAAGGGGAAUGAGUUGGACAGGCCUGAGAUCAGUCUAUAAGAUGAAUGAGUUGGGACAGGCCCGAGAUCAGUCUAUAAGGGGAAUGAGUUGGACAGGCCUGAGAUCAGUCUAUGAGAUGAAUGAGUUGGACAGGCCUGAGAUCAGUCUAUAAGGUGAAUGAGUUGGGACAGGCCUGAGAUCAGUCUAAAAGGGGAAUGAGUUGGACAGGCCUGAGAUCAGUCUAUAAGGGGAAUGAGUUGGACAGGCCUGAGAUCAGUCUAUGAGAUGAAUGAGUUGGGACAGGCCUGAGAUCAGUCUAUAAGAUGAACGUCACUAGACGUCCCGUUUAACGGAUUCCCUUUAUGAUCACAACACCUCAGCACACCUGGAUACACAGGACACCUUUACACACACCUGGUGAGAGUGGACACUUCUGGACACCUUUACACACAGCUGGUGAGAGUGGACACUUCUGGACACCUUUACACACACCUGGUGAGAGUGGACACAUCUAGACACCUGGUGACUCAUCUGGAUUAAUCUAGACACCUGGUGACCCAUCUGGAUUAAUCUAGACACCUGGUGACCCACCUGGAUUAAUCUAGACACCUGGUGACUCAUCUGGAUGAAUCUAGACACCUGGUGACUCAUCUGGAUUAAUCUAGACACCUGGUGACUCAUCUGGAUUAAUCUAGACACCUGGUGACUCAUCUGGACAAUUCUGGACACCUGGUGACUCAUCUGGAUUAAUCUAGACACCUGGUGACACCUGGACACAUCUAGACACCACCUGGUGACCCAUCUAGACACCUGGUGACUCAUCUGGACACAUCUAGACACCUGGUGACCCAUCUGGAUUAAUCUAGACACCUGGUGACUCAUCUGGAUUAAUCUAGACACCUGGUGACCCAUCUAUAUUAAUCUAGACACCUGGUGACCCAUCUAGACACCUGGUGACCCAUCUGGAUUAAUUUAGACACCUGGUGACCCAUCUGGAUUAAUCUAGACACCUGGUGACACCUGGACACAUCUAGACACCUGGUGACCCAUCUGGAUUAAUCUAGACACCUGGUGACCCAUCUGGAUUAAUCUAGACACCUGGUGACACCUGGACACAUCUAGACACC